GCGAAGUGUGAGGACAACUUGGCCCUGGCUGGGCAUCACGUAGCAGGGUACGAAACCUCGCCUGCCCCUUCCCGCCUGGACAUCACCUCCCAGUUUCCUCACCUACAAAUGGGAUUGGCAUCAAGACUGACUUCAUAGAGGAUGAAGGAGACCUAAGGAUCUUAAAUCACAUGACAGCUUUGGUCCAACUCGUCCACCUACAGCCAGGAGGACAGAGAAGCAGAGUGGAGGAGAGAGCACGCUUCGUCCCACAGAGCCAAGACCUGUGCUGAGGUCCCGACCCAGAGCCCUGCUCCCACAGCAGCUCCCAAGGCCCAUUGCAGGCAGGGAGCAGGGAAGACGUAAUUCCUCAGUAGAAACGUGUCUGUUCCAGUAUCUUCUGGUCUAGCUCUAAUGCCCCUGCAUCUCUUUCUUUCUGGACUAUGUCCAGUCCUGCAGCAUCUGGAGCCAGAGCGCCCAG
This 460-nucleotide long non-coding RNA is filed under the name Chinchilla lanigera (long-tailed chinchilla). RNAcentral describes it as "lncRNA (ENSCLAG00000027541.1)". Lineage: Eukaryota; Metazoa; Chordata; Mammalia; Rodentia; Chinchillidae. The record is from RNAcentral.